Molecule: ribosomal RNA, 808 nt
Filed under: uncultured Planctomycetota bacterium
Lineage: Bacteria; Pseudomonadati; Planctomycetota
Description: bacterial SSU rRNA
Rfam family: Bacterial small subunit ribosomal RNA
Source: RNAcentral
GGAUUAGGCAUGCAAGUCGCACGAGAAAGGUUUCUUCGGAAGCCGAGUACAGUGGCGAACGGGUGAGUAAUGCAUAGACAACUCGCCCUUGAGAUGGGGACAACGCCUCGAAAGGGGUGCUAAUACCCAAUGCCGCCUUGGGCCUGCGGGUCCAGGGUGAAAGGAGGCCUCUGAUUCAAGCUUCCGCUCAAGGAGAGGUUUAUGUCCUAUUAGCUAGUUGGCGGGGUAACGGCCCACCAAGGCUGCGAUGGGUAGCCGACCUGAGAGGGUGACCGGCCACAUUGGGACUGAGACACUGCCCAGACUCCUACGGGAGGCUGCAGUCGAGAAUCUUCCGCAAUGCGCGCAAGCGUGACGGAGCGACGCCGCGUGGGUGAUGAAGGCCUUCGGGUUGUAAAACCCUGUCAGCUACUACGAAACACGGGCGAUGAACAAUCGUCCCGUCUGACUUAAGUAGCAGAGGAAGCACCGGCUAACUACGUGCCAGCAGCCGCGGUAAUACGUAGGGUGCAAACGUUGUUCGGAAUCACUGGGCAUAAAGGGCGCGUGGGCGGUCUGAUAAGUCAGGUGUGAAAUCCCUCGGCCUAACCGAGGAACUGCAUUUGAUACUGUCGGGCUAGAGUACAGGAGGGGAGAGUGGAAUUCCUGGUGGAGCGGUGAAAUGCGUAGAUAUCACGAGGAACGCCGGCGGCGAAAGCGACUCUCUGGCCUGUUACUGACGCUGAGGCGCGAAAGCUAGGGGAGCAAACGGGAUUAGAUACCCCGGUAGUCCUAGCCCUAAACGAUGGGCACUAAGUAGAGGGGUUUU